RNAcentral lists this signal recognition particle RNA (147 nucleotides) under Nomascus leucogenys (northern white-cheeked gibbon). RNAcentral's name for it is "Metazoan signal recognition particle RNA". It matches the Rfam family "Metazoan signal recognition particle RNA". Rfam says of the family: The signal recognition particle (SRP) is a universally conserved ribonucleoprotein. It is involved in the co-translational targeting of proteins to membranes. The record is from Rfam by way of RNAcentral. Lineage: Eukaryota; Metazoa; Chordata; Mammalia; Primates; Hylobatidae.
GCUGGGCAUGGUGGUGCGUGCCUGUAAUCCCAGCUACUCAGGAGGCUGAGGCAGGAGAAUUGCUUGAACCAGGUAGUUGGAGGUUGCAGUGAGCCAAGAUCGUGCCACUGAACUCCAGCCUGGUGAUAGAGCAAGACUCUGUCUCAA